UAGAAACGAAAGCGACCUGUUUGGCAUUAUCGUUUGUAUUGAAUUCGUUCAUUUUCUUGAAUUGCCGUUUUGCAGCUGCCUUCAUUCCCACUCAGCAGUUUAAAUUUCUCUACGACCAUAACGACGAUCUUGUUCAAGAUGAAAUCUUAUCGUCAUUGGACUCGGUUCAUCUGCACUAGCUUCAAUCGAUUUGAAUCGAAUUUCCCUCAAAAUUCUCGUGUUUUCUCUCAUUUUUCCGGUGAUUUUGAGCAGGAAUCAUGGAAUUCUGCAGAGGGUCUUGUGCGUUGCUCUGCAAAUUACGUUCCUUUGUCUCCUAUAAGCUUAUUGGAGCGAGCUGCCAAGGUGUAUAGAGACAGGACCUCUGUUAUAUAUGGUUCUGUUAAGUAUAGUUGGAGUGACACUUACGAUCGUUGUCUCAGGCUGGCUUCUGCCUUAACUCAGUUGGGAAUUUCCCGUGGCGAUGUGGUUGCGACAUUGGCCCCUAAUGUUCCAGCAAUGUAUGAGCUGCAUUUUGCAGUCCCAAUGGCAGGAGCAGUUCUUUGUACACUUAAUGCACGCCACGACUCAAAUAUGGUUUCUGUCCUGUUGAAACAUUCGGAAGCUAAGAUCAUAUUUGUAGACUAUCAGUUACUUGAUGUUGCUCGUAAAGCAUUUGAGCAUCUUGCAAAGACCGAAGCAAAACCACCCAUGCUGGUCUUUAUUUCUGAAUCUGAUGGUUUCUCGCCCAUUGGCUUCAAUUCGAGCACUUACGAGUAUGAAAGUCUCCUGGCAAAUGGACAUAAUAGAUUUGAGAUUAGACGACCAAAAAGUGAAUGGGAUCCCAUCAGCAUAAAUUAUACUUCUGGCACAACAUCAAGACCCAAAGGAGUUGUUUAUAGUCACAGGGGGGCAUAUCUUAAUUCCCUUUCAACGGUUUUCCUUCAUGGGAUCGGAGCAAUGCCUAUUUACCUUUGGACUGUGCCCAUGUUUCAUUGCAAUGGGUGGUGCCUUAUUUGGGGAGUGGCAGCGCAGGGUGGCACUAACGUAUGCCUUAGAAAAGUAUCUCCAAAGGACAUUUUUGACAGUAUAGUACAUCACAAAGUGACAAACAUGGGAGGGGCACCGACUGUUUUGAACAUGAUUGUGAAUUCAGCAGUUUGUGACCAAAAACCACUUCCUCACAAAGUGGAAGUUAUGACCGGGGGUGCACCACCACCCCCUCAAAUCCUUCUCAAGAUGGAAGAAUUGGGUUUUGGUGUAUCUCACUUGUAUGGCCUUACAGAAACUUACGGUCCAGGGACUUACUGUGCAUGGAAACCUGAAUGGGAUUCACUGCCUCAUAAUGAGAGAUUAAAGUUGAAAACCCGACAAGGGGUGCACCAUCUUGGCUUGGAGGAUGUUGAUGUAAGAGAUCCUAUCACUGAGGAAAGUGUGCCUGCUGAUGGUAAAACGAUAGGUGAAGUUGUGUUCAGAGGAAACACUGUAAUGAGUGGGUACUUUAAAGACUUGGAAGAAACAGAGAAAGCUUUCAGAGGUGGAUGGUUUCGAAGUGGGGAUCUUGCUGUGAAACAUCCUGAUGGUUACAUAGAAGUAAAGGACCGCUUGAAGGAUAUUAUAAUCUCUGGGGGAGAGAAUAUAAGCACAGUUGAAGUAGAAACGGUUUUAUAUAGUCAUCCCGCAAUUUUCGAGGCUGCAGUAGUUGCACGGCCAGAUGAUCACUGGGGACAAACACCAUGUGCAUUUGUUAAGUUAAAAGAGGGUUUUGAUGUGAGUGCACAAGAUAUAAUCAAGUUUUGCAGGGACCACUUGCCGCAUUAUAUGGCUCCUCGGACUGUCAUUUUUGAGGAUUUGCCAAGAACCUCAACGGGGAAGGUGCAGAAGUUUAUUCUGAGGGAGAAAGCAAAGGCAAUGGGCAGCCUCUCUUGAGAUAAAAAAAAAUAAUAAUAACGAUUUGUAAAUCCAUGUUUCCUUGGAAAAUAAGAAUUUCGUUAUUUCAAAAAAAAAA
RNAcentral lists this unclassified non-coding RNA (1984 nucleotides) under Hevea brasiliensis (rubber tree). The record is from RNAcentral. Lineage: Eukaryota; Viridiplantae; Streptophyta; Magnoliopsida; Malpighiales; Euphorbiaceae.